GGGCCCAUAGCUCAACGGUAGAGCAUCCGGCUCAUAACCGGCUGGUUCUAGGUUCGAAUCCUAGUGGGCCCA
RNAcentral lists this transfer RNA (72 nucleotides) under Sporotomaculum syntrophicum. It matches the Rfam family "tRNA". From Rfam's summary of the family: Transfer RNA (tRNA) molecules are approximately 80 nucleotides in length. Lineage: Bacteria; Bacillati; Bacillota; Clostridia; Eubacteriales; Desulfallaceae. RNAcentral also lists the same sequence under 4 other names. The record is from Rfam by way of RNAcentral.